RNAcentral lists this ribosomal RNA (465 nucleotides) under uncultured bacterium. RNAcentral's name for it is "partial 16S ribosomal RNA". It matches the Rfam family "Bacterial small subunit ribosomal RNA", at positions 28 to 507 of the family's 1533-position model. The record is from RNAcentral.
GAUGAACGCUGGCGGCGUGCUUAACACAUGCAAGUCGAACGGAAAGGCUCCUGCUUGCCGGGGUACUCGAGUGGCGAACGGGUGAGUAAUACGUGGGGGAACUGCCCUGCACUUCGGGAUAAGCCUUGGAAACUGGGGCUAAUAUCGGAUAGGACGAUGGUUUGGAUGCCAUUGUGGAAAGAUUUUCGGUGUGGGAUGAGCUCGCGGCCUAUUAGCUUGUUGGUGGGGUAAUGGCCUACGAAGGCGUCGACGGGUAGCCGGCCUGAGAGGGUGUACGGCCACAUUAGGACUGAGAUACGGCCCAGACUCCUACGGGAGGCAGCAGUGGGGAAUAUUGCACAAUAGGCGCAAGCCUGAUGCAGCGACGCCGCGUGGGGGAUGACGGCCUUCGGGUUGUAAACUCCUUUCGCUAGGGACGAAGCGCAAGUGACGGUACCUGGAGAAGAAGCACCGGCUAACUACGUG